This 200-nucleotide ribosomal RNA is filed under the name uncultured bacterium. RNAcentral's name for it is "partial 16S ribosomal RNA". It matches the Rfam family "Bacterial small subunit ribosomal RNA", at positions 8 to 209 of the family's 1533-position model. The record is from RNAcentral.
AGAGUUUGAUCCUGGCUCAGAACGAACGCUGGCGGCACGUUUUAAGCAUGCAAGUCGAACGGCAGCAGGGGCAACCCUGUGAGAGUGGCGAACGGGUGAGUAACACGUAGGUGAUCUGCCUUGAGGAUGGGGAUAGCUUGUGGAAACACAGGGUAAUACCGAAUGAGCUGACUGUCACUUUGGUGAUGUUAGUAAAGGUG